This 497-nucleotide ribosomal RNA is filed under the name uncultured bacterium. RNAcentral's name for it is "partial 16S ribosomal RNA". It matches the Rfam family "Bacterial small subunit ribosomal RNA", at positions 28 to 507 of the family's 1533-position model. The record is from RNAcentral.
GACGAACGCUGGCGGCGUGCCUAAUACAUGCCGGUUGAGCGCUGAAGGUUGGUACUUGUACCAACUGGAUGAGCAGCGAACGGGUGAGUAACGCGUGGGGAAUCUGCCUUUGAGCGGGGGACAACAUUUGGAAACGAAUGCUAAUACCGCAUAAAAACUUUAAACACAAGUUUUAAGUUUGAAAGAUGCAAUUGCAUCACUCAAAGAUGAUCCCGCGUUGUAUUAGCUAGUUGGUGAGGUAAAGGCUCACCAAGGCGAUGAUACAUAGCCGACCUGAGAGGGUGAUCGGCCACAUUGGGACUGAGACACGGCCCAAACUCCUACGGGAGGCAGCAGUAGGGAAUCUUCGGCAAUGGACGAAAGUCUGACCGAGCAACGCCGCGGGAGUGAAGAAGGUUUUCGGAUCGUAAAACUCUGUUGGUAGAGAAGAACGUUGGUGAGAGUGGAAAGCUCAUCAAGUGACGGUAACUACCCAGAAAGGGACGGCUAACUACGUG